GCGAACGCUGGCGGCAGGCUUAACACAUGCAAGUCGAACGGGCGUAGCAAUACGUCAGUGGCAGACGGGUGAGUAACGCGUGGGAACGUGCCUUUUGGUUCGGAACAACUGAGGGAAACUUCAGCUAAUACCGGAUAAGCCCUUACGGGGAAAGAUUUAUCGCCAAAAGAUCGGCCCGCGUCUGAUUAGCUAGUUGGUGAGGUAAUGGCUCACCAAGGCGACGAUCAGUAGCUGGCUGAGAGGAUGAUCAGCCACACUGGGACUGAGACACGGCCCAGACUCCUACGGGAGGCAGCAGUGGGGAAUAUUGGACAAUGGGCGCAAGCCUGAUCCAGCCAUGCCGCGUGAGUGAUGACGGCCU
Molecule: ribosomal RNA, 361 nt
Filed under: uncultured bacterium
Lineage: Bacteria
Description: bacterial SSU rRNA
Rfam family: Bacterial small subunit ribosomal RNA
Source: RNAcentral